GGCUCCACUUAGCCCCGGACGCCGCGAAGGGUCUUUGGCGUCCUGGUGCCACCAAUACGGAAGGCCUGAUCUUUCCGGUCCGAAGUAAUUGCUGGCUGGCUUCGGUCUCCACAGAGGAAGGCGGGAAUCAGCGGGCUGGGACCUACGCCUCCCACUGUCAACCACGAUGCUGCACAUCUGGCCUCUGCCACUCAAACGCCGGUACCCAGCAUCCUACUUGAUUCUAUGAGAAAACAGCUUCAGAUUCUGCACAAGAAAGGAAGCCUGAGGAAGAAUGGCCAGCUCUAAUUGUCAG
Mus pahari (shrew mouse) is the source of this 295-nucleotide long non-coding RNA. RefSeq lists it as uncharacterized. The transcript has 3 exons. The record is from RefSeq and is a predicted model, not a curated record. NCBI's taxonomy places the organism in Eukaryota, Metazoa, Chordata, Mammalia, Rodentia, Muridae.